UAACCAGAACCAACAUUGGAGAGGUGGCCUCUGAUCUCCAUGUUUAAAUUUCAGUCUUGGAACAGACUGAAGAGGCUGGAUUUAAAGUCUGGAUUUUGUUUCACUUGCAGUAGAAUGGAAGAGCUGCCAAGCUCAGGCACCACCAGUGCUUUGUGGAAGCCGACAUAUGAAUUUGUUCUACAAAUGUGCCAGGGACACCCUGAUCCAACAGUCAGAUCACUUCCAGAAGACACAGAGUUACAUCUCUGAGCUGACUUCCAGUUCUUAUUACCACCCAUUAAGAGAAAAAUUCUGCAUAAAGCAAACCAGGAAAGAAGAGAAAGAAUGUCUGUGGGAAGGAUGUAAAGGACAACAGGAGGAAAGAGAUAAGUGACUACAUUAACUUCAUCUGAGAAUAAAACCUUUUCCAAAGUCCUUCAAGGCCUUAUCCAAGACAUAGACAAGGAAUGGUUGGCAGCUGUCCCACUGCUGGGAGCUGGAGGAGCUCAGGGGA
Corapipo altera (White-ruffed manakin) is the source of this 493-nucleotide long non-coding RNA. RefSeq lists it as uncharacterized. Lineage: Eukaryota; Metazoa; Chordata; Aves; Passeriformes; Pipridae. The transcript is spliced from 3 exons. The record is from RefSeq and is a predicted model, not a curated record.